CCUACGGGAGGCUGCAGUGAGGAAUAUUGGUCAAUGGGCUUACGCCUGAACCAGCCAAGUCGCGUGAGGGAAGACUGCCCUAUGGGUUGUAAACCUCUUUUGUCAGGGAGCAACGCCGGCUACGUGUAGCCGGACUGAGAGUACCUGAAGAAAAAGCAUCGGCUAACUCCGUGCCAGCAGCCGCGGUAAUACGGAGGAUGCGAGCGUUAUCCGGAUUUAUGGGGUUUAAAGGGUGCGUAGGCGGAAUGCCAAGUCAGCGGUAAAAUCGCGGGGCUCAACCUCUCGCCGCCGUUGAAACUGGCGUUCUUGAGUGAGCGAGAAGUAUGCGGAAUGCGUGGUGUAGCGGUGAAAUGCAUAGAUAUCACGCAGAACUCCGAUUGCGAAGGCAGCAUACCGGCGCCCAACUGACGCUGAAGCACGAAAGCGUGGGUAUCGAACAGGAUUAGAUACCCCUGUAGUC
Molecule: ribosomal RNA, 460 nt
Filed under: uncultured bacterium
Lineage: Bacteria
Description: partial 16S ribosomal RNA
Rfam family: Bacterial small subunit ribosomal RNA
Source: RNAcentral